GUCUAGGUUGGGCAUGGUUGUUACUGCCUCCAGCCCCUUGGUUACUCCAAGAAAGAUUGGGGUGAUUUCGCCACGAUGGGUUGUAAAAGUUGGAUUGCAAACCUUGCCUUCCUCGGUUCUGGUUCUGAUUACCUAUGUAGUACAUGGAUUCUGGGUUUGACGGACAUUCUUCAAACACAUAUCCUUCCCCACAAUAGACACA
This 202-nucleotide long non-coding RNA is filed under the name Gossypium barbadense (sea-island cotton). RNAcentral's name for it is "long non-coding RNA (GBAR_LNC006992)". The record is from RNAcentral. Lineage: Eukaryota; Viridiplantae; Streptophyta; Magnoliopsida; Malvales; Malvaceae.